This 519-nucleotide ribosomal RNA is filed under the name uncultured bacterium. RNAcentral's name for it is "partial 16S ribosomal RNA". It matches the Rfam family "Bacterial small subunit ribosomal RNA", at positions 29 to 523 of the family's 1533-position model. The record is from RNAcentral.
AACGAACGCUGGCGGCGUGCUUAACACAUGCAAGUCGCACGAGAAAUCCUGGGCAACCGGGAGAGUAAAGUGGCGCACGGGUGAGUAACGCGUGGGUAACCUACCCUUGAGUUGGGGAUAACCCCGCGAAAGCGGGGCUAAUACCGAAUAACAAUUCAGUCUCUAUGGGGAUUGAAUUUAAAGAUAGCCUCUACGUGUAAGCUAUUGCUCAUGGCUGGGCCCGCGUACCAUCAGCUUGUUGGUAGGGUAAAAGCCUACCAAGGCAACGAUGGUUAGCUGGUCUGAGAGGAUGGCCAGCCACACUGGAACUGAGACACGGUCCAGACUCCUACGGGAGGCAGCAGUGGGGAAUCUUGCGCAAUGGGGGAAGCCCUGACGCAGCAACGCCGCGUGGGUGAUGAAGGCCUUCGGGUCGUAAACUCCUGUUGAUCGGGACGAAAAGCUUCAACCUAAUACGUUGAAGACUGACGGUACCGGUUGAGGAAGCCACGGCUAACUCUGUGCCAGCCGCCGCAGUAA